Long non-coding RNA from Silurus meridionalis, 591 nucleotides. RefSeq lists it as uncharacterized. The transcript has 2 exons. The record is from RefSeq and is a predicted model, not a curated record. Lineage: Eukaryota; Metazoa; Chordata; Actinopteri; Siluriformes; Siluridae.
AUUGCUGCAUUAAUGCUAUAAUAUGUAGUGUCGUCGUACAAAAGACCCUUUUUCUUAAAUGAUGUAGGUCUGUAUUUUCUAUUCCUGUACCAGAACUCAUAGUAAUUUCCCACUGUAUGUUUUCUUACAGAGUAAAAUAUAUUCAAAAUGACUUCAAUGGCCGACAUUUUAAGAAGACUGUGUUCCUUCUUUUGCUGUUUGACGCCACCACAAGAUGAAACUGAAAGCAUGUCUGAGAGACAUGAAAUCCAGCAGUCAUCAAGCAAAAGGCGUGUAAAAGAAACAGAGAAACCCAAGACUGAAAAGGCGCGAAAGGUGUUCAUGCUUCCUGUGCACGAGGUCCUGACCAGCGAAUACACACCAGACACUUUUUGGAAUGCUGAAUUUUACUAAUAGCUGUAAUGAUUAUAUUACAACGUUGUCGCUCUGUAGUACUGAACAACAAGAAUAAGGUGGACGCAGUAUAAAAGUGCAGGACGAUUGCAGAGUUUAGUAUUGUUCAUAAGUACGUGUCCACUACUUGAAUCUUGAUUUGUCAGUCCUACUGUCCUUGAAAGAAUGCACAUUUAUCAGUAAAUGUUCUCAAACUAG